UUCUCUCUGGACUCGACAUCACAGGACCUGUCAGCCUCUGUUUUUCACUUUUUCUUUCUUCUUUCUUCCUUCUUCUCUAUUUCUGGACUCUACAUCACUGGUGCAUACAUCUGUUUUUUUUUCAGUCUCGACCUGUCGACUGUGAAAAAAAAACAGAGCUGUCGACCACUCGACCAGUGCUCUGUUUUUUUUUUCACAGUC
RNAcentral lists this long non-coding RNA (201 nucleotides) under Nicotiana benthamiana. RNAcentral's name for it is "long non-coding RNA (NBEN_LNC033636)". The record is from RNAcentral. Lineage: Eukaryota; Viridiplantae; Streptophyta; Magnoliopsida; Solanales; Solanaceae.